AUUGAACGCUGGCGGCAGGCUUAACACAUGCAAGUCGAGCGGAGAUGAGGUGCUUGCACCUUAUCUUAGCGGCGGACGGGUGAGUAAUGCUUAGGAAUCUGCCUAUUAGUGGGGGACAACAUUCCGAAAGGAAUGCUAAUACCGCAUACGCCCUACGGGGAAAGCAGGGGAUCUUCGGACCUUGCGCUAAUAGAUGAGCCUAAGUCGGAUUAGCUAGUUGGUGGGGUAAAGGCCUUCCAAGGCGACGAUCUGUAGCGGGUCUGAGAGGAUGAUCCGCCACACUGGGACGGAGACACGGCCCAGACUCCUACGGGAGGCAGCAGUGGGGAGUAUUGGACAAUGGGGGGAACCCUGAUCCAGCCAUGCCGCGUGUGUGAAGAAGGCCUUAUGGUUGUAAAGCACUUUAAGCGAGGAGGAGGCUCUUUUGGUUAAUACCCAAGAUGAGUGGACGUUACUCGCAGAAUAAGCACCGGCUAACUCUGUGCCAGCCGCCGCAGUAA
Molecule: ribosomal RNA, 500 nt
Filed under: uncultured bacterium
Lineage: Bacteria
Description: partial 16S ribosomal RNA
Rfam family: Bacterial small subunit ribosomal RNA
Source: RNAcentral